This 237-nucleotide long non-coding RNA is filed under the name Capsicum annuum. RNAcentral describes it as "long non-coding RNA (CANN_LNC008371)". Lineage: Eukaryota; Viridiplantae; Streptophyta; Magnoliopsida; Solanales; Solanaceae. The record is from RNAcentral.
AAACAUUCACCUGGGAUUUGUACCUCCGUACUAAACCUUCCACGAGCUAUAUGGGUUCAAUUUCCCCUAUUACAAGAGCCCCAGCAUGUAUAGCCGCAUGACUAAGGAAGUAUCUCAUGGGAUUACUAGUACAUCCCCUAAUAGUGUAACAUCAUGAACACGAUUAACAAAGACCAAUCCUUAUAUCGGAAUAUAUGAAUUUCUAGUUUUGGUCCCCCUAGGACCACGACCUUUUAU